GGGUUCGGAAUAACAGUGAGAAAUUACUGCUAAUACCGGAUGAUGACUUCGGUCCAAAGAUUUAUCGCCCAAGGAUGAGCCCGCGUAAGAUUAGCUAGUUGGUGAGGUAAAGGCUCACCAAGGCGACGAUCUUUAGCUGGUCUGAGAGGAUGAUCAGCCACACUGGGACUGAGACACGGCCCAGACUCCUACGGGAGGCAGCAGUGGGGAAUAUUGGACAAUGGGCGAAAGCCUGAUCCAGCAAUGCCGCGUGAGUGAUGAAGGCCUUAGGGUUGUAAAGCUCUUUUACCAGGGAUGAUAAUGACAGUACCUGGAGAAUAAGCUCCGGCUAACUCCGUGCCAGCAGCCGCGGUAAUACGGAGGGAGCUAGCGUUGUUCGGAAUUACUGGGCGUAAAGCGCACGUAGGCGGCCAUUCAAGUCAGAGGUGAAAGCCCGGGGCUCAACCCCGGAACUGCCUUUGAAACUAGAUGGCUUGAAUCUUGGAGAGGCGAGUGGAAUUCCGAGUGUAGAGGUGAAAUUCGUAGAUAUUCGGAAGAACACCAGUGGCGAAGGCGACUCGCUGGACAAGUAUUGACGCUGAGGUGCGAAAGCGUGGGGAGCAAA
RNAcentral lists this ribosomal RNA (604 nucleotides) under Blastomonas natatoria. Its description in RNAcentral is "bacterial SSU rRNA". It matches the Rfam family "Bacterial small subunit ribosomal RNA", at positions 134 to 772 of the family's 1533-position model. The record is from RNAcentral. Lineage: Bacteria; Pseudomonadati; Pseudomonadota; Alphaproteobacteria; Sphingomonadales; Blastomonadaceae.